This 451-nucleotide ribosomal RNA is filed under the name uncultured bacterium. Its description in RNAcentral is "partial 16S ribosomal RNA". It matches the Rfam family "Bacterial small subunit ribosomal RNA", at positions 28 to 507 of the family's 1533-position model. The record is from RNAcentral.
AGCGAACGCUGGCGGCAUGCCUAACACAUGCAAGUCGCACGGGGGGGCUUCGGCCUCCCAGUGGCGGACGGGUGAGGAACGCGUAGGGACCUGUCGAGGGGUGGGGGAUAACCGCGGGAAACUGCGGCUAAUACCGCAUGACGCCGCGGCGUGACAGCCGGGGCCAAAGGCGAAAGCCGCCCGCCGAGGGGCCUGCGUCCGAUUAGCUGGUUGGCGGGGUAGCGGCCCACCAAGGCGUCGAUCGGUAGAUGGUCUGAGAGGGUGAUCAGCCACACCGGGACUGAGACACGGCCCGGACUCCUACGGGAGGCAGCAGUGGGGAAUAUUGGACAAUGGGCGCAAGCCUGAUCCAGCAAUGCCGCGUGGGUGAAGAAGGUCUUCGGAUUGUAAAGCCCUUUCGGCGGGGACGAUGGUGACGGUACCCGCAGAAGAAGCCCCGGCUAACUUCGUG